GGGUAUGUAGCUCAGUGGUAGAGUGUGUGCUUAGCAUGCACAAGGUCCUAGGUUCAAUCCCCAGUACCUCCA
RNAcentral lists this transfer RNA (72 nucleotides) under Camelus bactrianus (Bactrian camel). It matches the Rfam family "tRNA". Rfam says of the family: Transfer RNA (tRNA) molecules are approximately 80 nucleotides in length. RNAcentral also lists the same sequence under 1 other name. The record is from Rfam by way of RNAcentral. Lineage: Eukaryota; Metazoa; Chordata; Mammalia; Artiodactyla; Camelidae.